This 241-nucleotide long non-coding RNA is filed under the name Lathyrus oleraceus (garden pea). Its description in RNAcentral is "Pisum sativum (pea) long non-coding RNA (PSAT_LNC014961)". Lineage: Eukaryota; Viridiplantae; Streptophyta; Magnoliopsida; Fabales; Fabaceae. The record is from RNAcentral.
UUAUGGGUCAUAUGUCCCCCACUCAUAUGGAAGUGCAAUAGCUCAGGUUUAAUUUCCUUUAAUGCUUCCAUUGCAUGCUAACUAAAAAAAGAUAAAAACAAACAAUAAAAAGAUCUUUUUCAAAAGAAAAAAAGCACACUUGAUCCAACGUCAAGUGUUUUCCAAAUCAAAUUCCCUUCAAAGAAACGUGAGUGCUUGAUCCAACGUCAAGUAUCUCACAAUCAUUAUCAUUCCAUUCUCU